GUAGUACAGAUAAAUGCCCAUGUCAUGCAGGUGACUAAUUAAUUAAGCACACAUGCAUGCAAUAUUUAGGUUCAACUGCAAAUUGAAUCUUCAUCGGCCGGAAGCUAGAAGUGAUAAAAUCGUUGUCUCUCGGCAAAAUCGAUCAUCUGCAUACAAAUUUGUGUGUGCGUCAUGCGCACUACUAUCAACUUUUCUUCUUCCUUUUUCCUUGUUUCCUGCGACGGAUGGUUUUAUUUUCUAAUAAUUUUUUUUGUGCAUGCCACAAUAUUUCAUAUGGCUGCAUGCAUCGUCGGCACGAGUUACACCUAUUUCAUGUGCAUUACAACUAUUUAUUCGAUUGAUUAUGUCAAAUCUCACGUGUUCCCAGAGGAUGUAUUUUUCCAAAAGGAUUUUCUUACAGUAACAGAAAAAAAAAGGGAGUUAGCUCUAGGAUUAUUUUCUGCCAUGUAUGAUGUUUGUUCUUUGAUCUUCUACUUAGGUUUCAUCCCACCCCAAUGGGGAUUAGCA
RNAcentral lists this long non-coding RNA (507 nucleotides) under Brachypodium distachyon (stiff brome). Its description in RNAcentral is "long non-coding RNA (BDIS_LNC000181)". Lineage: Eukaryota; Viridiplantae; Streptophyta; Magnoliopsida; Poales; Poaceae. The record is from RNAcentral.